UGGUCCAACAAAGGUCCACCUAACUCCCUUCCCUUCACUAUCGGUCAAUCCACUCUCUCUUUUCACCUCAUUUCUUCCUCAAUUUCUGAAGAACCCGUCGACUCCUCCUCAAGUCCUCACCCCACGCCGUCGGCUGUCACGUGAUUCUGGCGAUUCGGGUCACACCUCACUCCAAGAGUCCGAUUCCACCCAACCAUUGAAAAUCUCUAAUCGGAAACCUCCAAUUUGACAACCUCCAAUCCGUCGUCUUCCGUCGCGUCGCUGCUGAUCCGGGCUGCUGGUCGCCGGCGUCUCCAAUCUCCUCGGCGGAAAUCGCCCCUGCAGCGAGGAGGGAGGACGUCGUUCGCUGCCGUCGCUGCGCACUACCGUCGCUGUGCGGUCGCUGCCGUCGCUGCUGCUCGCAGCUGCUGUGCAGCCUCCUCUUCCCCGGAAACACUCCGAACCACCCCGAAUGAACCCGCAAAUUACGUUCUCAAUUCAAAUGUAAUGUGAGGAAGAGAUGGAAGGCUAAAGUAAUAUUUUGUGCGACUCUUGGAUGGAAGCAUUGAUGGUGGAAGAGGGAAGAUGAAAGAGUUGGAGGUGGAGAGUCCUUGGUGGAAACCGUCGACCAUGGUUGAAGAAGAAGGAGAAGGAAGUUCUUUGGGCUUGCUCCCAUUUGCUUGGAUAGAUUUGGGCUCUUAAAUUAAUUAAAUGGUGUUGGGCUCAAUUUGUUGUAAGCCCACUUGGCAAUAUUAUUACUUGGUUAGAUUUUUAAAUAGUUAGGGCCCAAGUCCUUUUUAUAGAUAGUCAAUUGGACUCCAAUUUAAUUUGGAAAGCCCAAACAUAAAUAUAUAUACAUACUUUAUUUUCUCGCA
Salvia splendens (bonfire salvia) is the source of this 854-nucleotide long non-coding RNA. RefSeq lists it as uncharacterized. The record is from RefSeq and is a predicted model, not a curated record. Lineage: Eukaryota; Viridiplantae; Streptophyta; Magnoliopsida; Lamiales; Lamiaceae. The transcript has 2 exons.